This is an RNA transcript of Cherax quadricarinatus, 3287 nucleotides long. RefSeq lists it as uncharacterized. NCBI's taxonomy places the organism in Eukaryota, Metazoa, Arthropoda, Malacostraca, Decapoda, Parastacidae. The record is from RefSeq and is a predicted model, not a curated record.
GCACUGCUGAGGUGGUGGUUGUGCCUCCCCUCUCUUAGCACCACACUCCUCCGUCGAUCCCGGACCCCUGAUAAACCAGCAGGUCGUGAUGUAACCUGAAGUGCUUCUCACAGUUCCCUCUUGCAAACCCACAACAACAGACCAUCGUUAUUUUUAACGAAAUAUGAAUCAGUGUAUAUAUAAUGUUGGUAAUAAAUGUUUGAAGAAGUGUGAGUGUCACAGCCUGUAUGAUGGUUGGCACUGCUGAGGUAGAGAUGUAUGCCACCAUCAACUCUCACACAAGUCUCUGUCUACUUCUGCUUCUGUUCAUCACUAACGUUGCAGAUAUUGUUGCUGGUCUACACAUCACUAAGGUGACAGUGCCGACACCCGUUGCCGUGGGGGAAGGUGGGUGGCUGGAGUGCGAGUUUGUGGACGAGGGAGAGAGCAUCUACGCCCUCAAGUGGUACUUGGGACUGGACGAGAUCUACCGUUGGACUCCUGCGGAGAACCCGCCCAUCAAGACCUUCCCGGUGAAAGGCGACCCUUUGACUGUGGACACAGCCGCCUCAAACAGAGGCAAAGUUCGCAUCAACGACGUGACACUAGGCGCGUCAGGGGUCUUCCGCUGUGAAGUGUCUGCUGAGGCACCGGACUUUCACACCGAGUCUGAAGUUGCCACUAUGACUGUUGUGGACCUACCAGAUGAGGAUCCCAGGAUCAGCGGAGUUGGGUCCAACCACCAGCUACACCAGGAAGUGCUGGUGAACUGCUCAUCCCCGAGGUCUCAACCUCCAGCCUCCCUCACCUUCUACGUCAACCAGGAGCUGGUAACCUCUCUCCCCUCCACCACCAGCAGACCCGGGUUGGUUAAUCCAUUAUUCUCCCGUGGAGGACCCAGAGACGGGUCUGGAAACUGCGGUCUUGGGUCUGCGCUUUGCGCUUCGGCCCAGACUACUGCGUCGGAGCGGCAGCGUCUCCGUCAAGUGCACGGCUUCCAUUUUCAACGUCUACUUCCGGAGCACUGAAGCCUCAGUCACUGCUGAUGUUCCCUUCCACGCAUCCAUCAUGGAGGGUCGAGCUGCCGCCGCAGCCUCCGCCGCCCGAGGAUGUCCAGAAAGUGUGACCAGUGUCCUAACAGUGAUGAUAUCACUGGUCCUGCUGCUCCCGAGUCCCUCGGACAUCCUCCUCAUACCAUGAAGCUCCAGAUCCAAGCCGUAGGAAACGCUAAUGACUGCUUGUAGAUUCGUGUUCUCAGCUGCAAUAAAUCCUCAGCUGUCUCUGGCAAGACCUUGGACAUGUACAUCAUAUCAGGAGACGACUUAUGUUUGGCGUCCGCCCCAACCCAGUUCUAUUGUCAGACAGAAGUAAAGAUGUUUAUGUCUUUCUAACGCUUGUGUCGCUAGUGGAAACGACACAAACGUUAGAAAGACAUAAAAAUCUUCACGUAACUGCGUGUUGUAUCCCCUGGGGAUGUAAAACAUAUGUGUACUUUUAUUAUAUAUUUUGAUAAUUGUAUAAAAAUGGAUGUGAAAUACUUUUCUUCAGAUAUAUGAGCUCUCAGACCGACAUUCAGAAGUUAUUGUUUAUUUUUUAGGCGUUAGACGCUAAAGUUUUAAAUUAGAUUUUGUUAAAGUCUUAAUGCUUUGUCAUGUUGGUAACUUGAACAAAAGCGUUACUCGGGUGUUACCAAAACGUUACUAAUAUAGGUUACAGUGUUUAUGCUUAAAAUACAGACCUCCACAACAUAAGUCACUGAAGUGAAAAGUUACAAACGGUGAUGCAACAAGACACAGACUUCAGAUGUUUUUCAAUUCGUGAACUUACGAACUAAAUUAUUCAGGUAUAUUGCUGAUUGUAGUUGUAUUUUUACUUGAAGCCUCUACCCAUUUUUGAUACACUAGUGUGAGUCAUACAAGAUGUAUAAUUUCAAAUACAUUUUCCUUCUCUUUGAUCGUGACUGUUUUAGUGAAAAAUUAGGAUGUAUUUAUAUAGAAUGCGCACCAAGUCAACGAAUAUUUUUUGAGAGGCCUACUGUCCAAUAGGAGUAAUCUCUAUGUAAUAAUCAUAUAUUUUCAACAGUGUGAGCGUUUUCUUCCUUUGACACGAUUGCAAAGAAAUCAGGAAACGGGUGGGGUUUGAACCCAUGGCGAAUGAGUUCUGAUACUCACCGACAAGUGCACUGAUUCACUCGCCCUGAAUCAGGGCGAGUGAAUCAAACUGAGUUCAAACUGACCUGUGAGUUUGAGGACACACUCACCCUGGGUUCACUCUGACCUGUGAGUUUAAUUACUCACUCGCCCUUAGUUCAAACCACCACCCGGUCCCUGAUUUGAUUUUCUCCCUAACUUAGAAUUUUUAAUUAUGUUAAUCCAAAUUAAGGUAUGACGCUCUUAGCUCUUUCACUACAUUAAAACCUACGUAAAAAAUGACGAUCUACGUUGUUUUUCACGCAUAAUAUCCAGAAAUUUUAUAUAUAAUAUUAAUUAUCCAAGAAGCAUGUACACCGGGAGGUGUAUGUCGAAAUGAUUGUAACCCGCCGGGUUCGAUUCCCGGCGGGGUAGAAACCUGUGGUAGAAACAUUUCGACGCGUUUCUUUACACCUGUUGUCCUGUUCACCUAUCAACAAGUAGGUAUCUGGAUGUUAGUCGACUGGUGUGGGUCGCAUCCUGGGGGACAAGUUUUAGGACCCCAAUGGAAAUAAGACAGACAUCCUCGAUGACGCACUGACUUUCUUGGGUUACCCUGGGUGGCUAACCCUGCUGGGUUAAAAAUCCGAACGAAAUUUUAUCUUAUAUACAUGCUGAGAGUGUACUUCAAACUGCUGGUAGAUGGGCUACGAGCAGCCAACUAAUUAUAACGUCUAUAAUAUGUUUUAUGUUAUAUAAAGCGUUGGUUUAUUGUUUAGAAGGAAGUGUUGAGGACAAGUGAAGAGUGACUAAAGAAGAAUAAGGUAGGACACAGUAACUGGUAAAAUAAUUCUUAACCCGGACUUAAGAGCUCUGAGAGGCUUGUGACGACGUUUCCGUCCUACAUGGGCUGGUGUGACUUGUAAAUGGUCCAAACCUGUCCGAAACGUUGUCAUAAACUUCUCUCUCCUAUCUACUGGUUAUUUGUGUAUUGUAACAGUAAUUAUGUGAAGCCAAACACCUUGCCAGUUUGAGGAUUUUGAAGACGACGUAAUUUUUCUGAAUGUUUUGAAAGUGGCUUCAGUAGCUAGAGGGGCUUAAAUAAAUGUUUAGUCACGAAUUUAUUACGUUUUUAUGUAAUGAAAUGCGAGUACAUUUCUAUAAUGUAUUUAUGAAACA